UACGUAGGGGGCAAGCGUUGUCCGGAGUUACUGGGCGUAAAGCGCACGCAGGCGGUCCUUUUUGUUCCGGGUGACAGUGGGAAGCUUCACUUCCCAAGGCUCCGGAAAACGGGAGGACUUGGAGGGCCAGAGAGGGACAUGGAAUUCCGGGUGGAGCGGUGAAAUGCGUAGAGAUCCGGAGGAACACCACAGGCGAAGGCAGUGUCCUGGCUGGCUCCUGACGCUCAGGUGCGAAAGCGAGGGGAGCAAACGGG
RNAcentral lists this ribosomal RNA (254 nucleotides) under uncultured Ktedonobacter sp. RNAcentral's name for it is "partial 16S ribosomal RNA". It matches the Rfam family "Bacterial small subunit ribosomal RNA", at positions 524 to 776 of the family's 1533-position model. The record is from RNAcentral. Lineage: Bacteria; Bacillati; Chloroflexota; Ktedonobacteria; Ktedonobacterales; Ktedonobacteraceae.